Molecule: ribosomal RNA, 450 nt
Filed under: uncultured bacterium
Lineage: Bacteria
Description: bacterial SSU rRNA
Rfam family: Bacterial small subunit ribosomal RNA
Source: RNAcentral
UAGGGAAUAUUGCACAAUGGGGGAAACCCUGAUGCAGCGACGCCGCGUGAGUGAUGAAGGCCUUCGGGUCGUAAAGCUCUGUCGUAUGGGACUAACAAAAUGAAGGUACCAUGCAAGAAAGGAUCGGCUAACUUCGUGCCAGCAGCCGCGGUAAUACGAAGGGGGCUAGCGUUGUUCGGAUUUACUGGGCGUAAAGCGCGUGUAGGCGGAUUUGUAAGUUGGGGGUGAAAUCCCGAGGCUCAACCUCGGAACUGCCUCCAAAACUACAAGUCUGGACCUAAGUAGAGGCAAGUGGAAUUGCGAGUGUAGCGGUGAAAUGCGUAGAUAUCAAGAGGAACACCUGAGGCGAAGGCGGGUUGCUAGGCUGAUACUGACGCUGAGGCGCGAAAGCUAGGGUAGCAAACGGGAUUAGAUACCCCAGUAGUCCCUGAGCGGGCUGGCAAGGCGCAU